Molecule: RNA transcript, 3944 nt
Organism: Carassius gibelio (silver crucian carp)
Lineage: Eukaryota; Metazoa; Chordata; Actinopteri; Cypriniformes; Cyprinidae
Gene name: zinc finger protein 271
Exons: 4
Source: RefSeq, a predicted model, not a curated record
CUGCAAACAGACCCUUAUCGAUAAUUCGGCGAAUAAGGAGCUGGCGAAUAAGGAGCUGGAGUCAGCCUCGUAGAGCUGAGGAACAAAUAACUUUCAGCAGAAACCGUGAACUAAGAGUCAUCAAAGCUUUCGGAUGCAGCUGCAGGGAUUUUCUGAGGAGAGGGGAUCAGUUUACGUUAUUUCUCAUCUUUAAACAACGUCGUGACUAAGUUUUGAAGCAGGAAUAUCUGGAGGAGUAUCAUCUGAACUGAGAUCUGCUGCUGUGAAGAUGGAGUUUGUUAAAGAAGAGAGUGAAGAGAACAUGAGUGGACCAGAAACCUGGAGAAUGAAAGACGAGGAGCCAGAAACCGAGAGAGUAAAACAAGAGGAGCCAGAAACCAGGAGAAUAAAACAGGAGGAACCAGAAACUUGGAGAAUAAAACACGAAGAACCAAAAACCGGGAGAAUAAAAGACGAGGAGCCAGAAACCGGGAGAAUAAAAGACGAGGAGCCAGAAACCGGGAGAAUAAAAGACGAGGAGCCAGAAACCGGGAGAGUAAAACAAGAGGAACCAGAAACCAGGAGAAUAAAAGAUGAGGAAUCAGAAACUGGCAGAAUAACCAGAAACCCGGAGAAUAAAACGCAAGGAGCCAGAAACCCGGAGAAUAAAACACUAGGAGCCAGAAACCAGGAGAAUAAAACGCGAAGAGCCAGAAGCCUGGAGAAUAAAACGCGAGGAGCCAGAAACCUGGAGAAUAAAACGCGAGGAGCCAGAAACACGGAGAAUAAAACGCGAGGAGCCAGAAACCUGGAGAAUAAAACGCGAGGAGCCAGGAGAAUAAAAGACAAGGAACAAGGAGCCCUGAUGAAAAUGAAAGAAGAAAGGCAAGAUCUGAAUGAGCUGGAGGAGAAAUAUCGGGAUCAGAAAGAUCAGGAUGUCAAUGGAGAAAAAUCAGUGAGUUCCAGCCUUAAAACAACACAAGUCAAGAGGCCUUUCAGCUGCUCUCAGUGUGGAAAGAGUUUCAGAAGUAACAAAAUUCUUAAGAGGCACAUGUUAAUUCAUUCUGAAAUAAAGCCAUUCAGCUACGCUCAGUGUGGAAAGAGUUCCGCAUGUAACAGAAAUCUUAAGGAUCACAUGUUAAUUCAUGCUGGGAUAAAGCCUUUCAGCUGCUCUCAGUGUGAAAAGAGUUUUAAAAAUAAAGCAGGCUUAAAGUAUCACAUGCUAAUUCAUGCUGGGAUAAAGUCUUUCAGCUGCUCUCAGUGUGAAAAGAGUUUUACAAAUAAAGCAAGCUUAAAGAGUCACAUGUUAGUUCAUGCUGAAAUAAAGCCUUUCAGCUGCUCUCAGUGUGGAAAGAGUUAUAAACAAAAAAAAAGCUUAAAGAGGCACAUGUUAAUUCAUACUGGAAUAAAGCCUUUCAGCUGCGUUCAGUGUGGAAAGAGUUUUACACGGAAAACAAGCUUAAAGAAUCACAUGUUAAUUCAUGCUGAGGUAAAGCCUUUUAGCUGCUCUCAGUGUGGAAAGAGAUUUACACACAAAGCAAAGCUUGAACAACACAUGUUAGUUCAUGCUGGAAUAAAGUCUUUCAGCUGCUCUCAGUGUGAAAAGAGUUUUACAAAUAAAGCAGGCUUAAAGUAUCACAUGUUAGUUCAUACUGGAAUAAAGCCUUUCAGCUGCUCUCAGUGUGGAAAGAGUUUUACAUAUAAAACAAUCUUAAAGAGUCACAUGUUAGUUCAUACUGGGAUAAAGACUUUCAGCUGCUUUCAGUGUGGAAAGAGUUUUACAUAUAAAACAAGCUUAACUAGUCACAUGUUAGUUCAUACUGGAAUAAAGCCUUUCAGCUGCUCUCAGUGUGGAAAGAGUUUUACAAGGAAAGAAACCUUAAAGAGUCACAUGUUAAUUCAUGCUGGGAUAAAGCCUUUCGGCUGCUCUCAGUGUGGAAACAGAUUUACACAGAAGUCAGCGCUUGAACAACACAUGUCAGUUCAUACUGUAAUAAAGUCUUUCAUCUGUUCUCAGUGUGGAAAAACUUUCACGUGUAACAGAAAUCUUAAGGAUCACAUGUCAGUUCAUACUGUAAUAAAGCCUUUCAGCUGCUCUCAGUGUGGAAAGAGUUUUACAAGGAAAGAAGGCUUAAAGAAUCACAUGAUAAGUCAUACUGGAAUAAAGCCUUUCAGCUGCUCUCAGUGUGGAAAGAGUUUUACAAGGAAAGUAGGCUUAAAGAAUCACAUGAUAAGUCAUACUGGAAUAAAGCCUUUCAGCUGCUCUCAGUGUGGAAAGAGUUUUACAAGGAAAGUAGGCUUAAAGAAUCACAUGAUAAGUCAUACUGGAAUAAAGCCUUUCAGCUGCUCUCAGUGUGGAAAGAGUUUUACACUGAAAGUAGGCUUAAAGAAUCACAUGUUAAUUCAUGCUGGGAUAAAGCCUUUCAGCUGCUCUCAGUGUGGAAAGAGUUUCAUACAUAAAGGAAUGCUUGAAAAGCACAUGUUAAUUCAUGCUGGGAUAAAGUCUUUCAUCUGCGCUCAAUAUUGAAAUACUUUUACACAGUAAGGACAACUUAAUAAUCAUUUGGUAACACACUUCAUAAAAUCCUUUCUGCUGCUGUCAGUGUGGAAACACUUUCACGUUUAAAUCAAGGCUUAAGAGGCACAUGUUCAUUCAUACGGGGUAAAAGUCUUUCACUUGCUCUCAGUUUGGAAAAACCUUUACACAGAAAGGACAUGGCGAGGUUCAUUUGGUAACCCACUCUUCAUAAAAGCCUUUUACCUUGGGGAGUUAAAGUAAAUUACUGUUUUUCUGAAUGACUUUCAUCAACUGGAUCACCUCAAGCAUGUGUCCUCUCCCCCCUUAUUAUUUAUCUUGUACAUAAAGACUGUAAGAGUAGUUAAUAGGCAUUCUGUAAUGUACACAAUUCUGUAAUCAUUAGCUUAAUGAGUGAGGAGGACUCCAUAAUUUGCCCUAUGGUUUAUGAUUUUAUUAUGUGGUGUCAGAAUGUUUUCUUAAAACUUAAAGGCACAAUAUGUAAUUUUCACUGAUGGAGGGCAUGUAUUCAAAAUAAGCCGUCUAAGUGCAACAAGACCAAUGAACAAGUGUGACAAACGUACAGCUCGAAAGCAGCGGAGCUUUAAUUAUUCCAGAGUUGAUCGCUUCAGCUGCUUCCAGUCGUGCGUAUGAGAGGUAAAUCAGUACUGUUUUAUCAUACUAGAUAUAUUUGGAAGUCCUCCACAACAUUAAAACGUCUUUGGUGGUUCCAUGUUUUCUACAAAAUAAAAUCGGAAAUUGAGUGGUUAUGAAUUAAUUGGCAGGUGACACAGUGACACUAUGGCAACUGUCUGUGUUAACUAGUUGUAAACAUUCUUCGAAACAUUUGGGAUAAUGUAAGUACACAAGUCAGCAAUUAUGUAACACUUCUAGUGGUUUUUGGAUAUUGUAAUAAAAUAAUCUUACAUAUUGUGCAUUUACUGUUUAUAAAACUAAGGAGAUGACUAUUGAUUUUAACUCUUGGGUGAAAUCUAUUUAGUAUAAGCAAGCAUUAAUGGAGUAGGUAUUGAGAGUGUUAAACAGUACAAGUAUUUGGGCACUGUGUUGGAUAACACAUUGCAAUUUUCUUCCAAUACUGAGGUUUUGUGCAAGAGGGGGCAGCAAAGAUUGUAUUGCUUGUGGAAACUAAGGUUUAUUAAUAUGGAAAAAACAUUGAUGUGCAUGAUCUACAGAUCCUAUAUUGAGUUACUGUUAUCUUUUUCACUGCUGUGCUGGUUUAGUUCUCUAAAAGUGAAAAACAUGAAUUGUCUUGAUUGUAAACCAGGGAAGUAAAAUAACUUUCAUUUAUCUCCUCAGUUGUAAAGUUUUUAAUUUUAAGGUAAAAACAUUUUAGGAAGGAAAUUUAUUGGGUUUUUGUUGUUUAUGUGAAAUGUUUGAUUGCUACAACCAAAUUGCAUUUGGGAAAUAAAUAAAAAUGAAUUGAACUGAA